This 637-nucleotide ribosomal RNA is filed under the name Microbacterium sp. N-RO8-4. RNAcentral's name for it is "bacterial SSU rRNA". It matches the Rfam family "Bacterial small subunit ribosomal RNA", at positions 103 to 754 of the family's 1533-position model. The record is from RNAcentral. Lineage: Bacteria; Bacillati; Actinomycetota; Actinomycetes; Micrococcales; Microbacteriaceae.
CGGGUGAGUAACACGUGAGCAAUCUGCCCCUGACUCUGGGAUAAGCGCUGGAAACGGCGUCUAAUACUGGAUACGAACAGCGACCGCAUGGUCAGUUGUUGGAAAGAAUUUCGGUCAGGGAUGAGCUCGCGGCCUAUCAGCUUGUUGGUGAGGUAAUGGCUCACCAAGGCGUCGACGGGUAGCCGGCCUGAGAGGGUGACCGGCCACACUGGGACUGAGACACGGCCCAGACUCCUACGGGAGGCAGCAGUGGGGAAUAUUGCACAAUGGGCGCAAGCCUGAUGCAGCAACGCCGCGUGAGGGACGACGGCCUUCGGGUUGUAAACCUCUUUUAGCAGGGAAGAAGCGAGAGUGACGGUACCUGCAGAAAAAGCGCCGGCUAACUACGUGCCAGCAGCCGCGGUAAUACGUAGGGCGCAAGCGUUAUCCGGAAUUAUUGGGCGUAAAGAGCUCGUAGGCGGUUUGUCGCGUCUGCUGUGAAAUCCCGAGGCUCAACCUCGGGUCUGCAGUGGGUACGGGCAGACUAGAGUGCGGUAGGGGAGAUUGGAAUUCCUGGUGUAGCGGUGGAAUGCGCAGAUAUCAGGAGGAACACCGAUGGCGAAGGCAGAUCUCUGGGCCGUAACUGACGCUGAGGAGC